AUUGAACGCUAGCGGGAUGCUUUACACAUGCAAGUCGAACGAGUGGCGGACGGGUGAGUAAUAUAUCGGAACGUGCCCAGUAGAGGGGGAUAACUACGCGAAAGUGUGGCUAAUACCGCCUACUAUUGGCGCGACCGAUAUAGGAUUAGCUAGUGGGUGGGGUAAAGGCUCACCAAGGCAACGAUCCGUAGCUGGUUUGAGAGGACGACCAGCCACACUGGGACUGAGACACGGCCCAGACUCCUACGGGAGGCAGCAGUGGGGAAUUUUGGACAAUGGGGGAAACCCUGAUCCAGCCAUCCCGCGUGUGUGAGAAGGCCUUCGGGUUGUAAAGUACUUUUGGCAGGGAAGCGGUAUCUGCAGAAUAAGCACCGGCUAACUACGUGCCAGCAGCCGCGGUAAUUC
Molecule: ribosomal RNA, 405 nt
Filed under: uncultured bacterium
Lineage: Bacteria
Description: partial 16S ribosomal RNA
Rfam family: Bacterial small subunit ribosomal RNA
Source: RNAcentral